GCGGAUGUGGCGGAAUUGGUAGACGCGCCAGCUUGAGGGGCUGGUAACUUCGGUUGUGGGGGUUCAAGUCCCCCCAUCCGCACCA
RNAcentral lists this transfer RNA (85 nucleotides) under Pseudomonadales bacterium. RNAcentral describes it as "tRNA-Leu". It matches the Rfam family "tRNA". Rfam says of the family: Transfer RNA (tRNA) molecules are approximately 80 nucleotides in length. Their secondary structure includes four short double-helical elements and three loops (D, anti-codon, and T loops). Further hydrogen bonds mediate the characteristic L-shaped molecular structure. tRNAs have two regions of fundamental functional importance: the anti-codon, which is responsible for specific mRNA codon recognition, and the 3' end, to which the tRNAs corresponding amino acid is attached (by aminoacyl-tRNA synthetases). tRNAs cope with the degeneracy of the genetic code in two manners: having more than one tRNA (with a specific anti-codon) for a particular amino acid; and 'wobble' base-pairing, i.e. permitting non-standard base-pairing at the 3rd anti-codon position. Lineage: Bacteria; Pseudomonadati; Pseudomonadota; Gammaproteobacteria; Pseudomonadales. RNAcentral also lists the same sequence under 2 other names. The record is from RNAcentral.